This is a long non-coding RNA of Leptidea sinapis, 616 nucleotides long. RefSeq lists it as uncharacterized. The transcript has 4 exons. The record is from RefSeq and is a predicted model, not a curated record. NCBI's taxonomy places the organism in Eukaryota, Metazoa, Arthropoda, Insecta, Lepidoptera, Pieridae.
UUCUUACCACAGCAACGUUAACUACCACAUAGCAAAAUGCGCGCUAUCGUAUUCUUCGCUCUCGUCGCCGUAGUAGUGGCCAAGCCCAAACCUGGCUUCCUCUCAGGGUUCGGAAGCUAUGGUCUUGGAGGCCUUGGAGGAUAUGGAGGCCUUGGAGGAUAUGGAGGCCUUGGAGGAUAUGGAGACUUUGGAGGAUAUGCUCCAUCACUAAGCAUAGCCCACCAGCCAACAAUCUCCGUUGCCCACGCGCCCAUUAUCCAAGCAGCUCCUGUGGUCCAGGCUGCCCCUAUUGUCCACGCGGCCCCAGCAGUUGUCCACGCCCCAGCUGCUACUAGCUACUCUUCAUUCCAAAGAGUCAUUCACCCAGUAUCUCAAGCUGUUGUCCACGCUGCCCCAGUAGCAGUUGCCCAGCCAGUGGUCCACGCAGCCCCAGUACUGACCCAGCAGGUAGUUCAUACAGCCCCAACCGUCGUUCAUGCCCCACUUGCCACAUACGCCCAGUCAUUCGGUCAUGGUUGGUGAACAUUUAGCUGUAACUAAUAUUAUUAUAAUUAACAUCUAUGCGUUGAGAUCAAGCCCGUGCUGGCGGGGUGGUGCAAAUAAAUAUUUAUAUUCA